This 71-nucleotide transfer RNA is filed under the name Ictidomys tridecemlineatus (thirteen-lined ground squirrel). Its description in RNAcentral is "Spermophilus tridecemlineatus (thirteen-lined ground squirrel) tRNA". It matches the Rfam family "tRNA". From Rfam's summary of the family: Transfer RNA (tRNA) molecules are approximately 80 nucleotides in length. Their secondary structure includes four short double-helical elements and three loops (D, anti-codon, and T loops). The record is from Rfam by way of RNAcentral. Lineage: Eukaryota; Metazoa; Chordata; Mammalia; Rodentia; Sciuridae.
GGGGAUGUGGCUCAGUGAUGGAGCACUUGCCUAGCAUGUGUGAGGUCCUGGGUUCAAUUCUCAGCACCUCA